GUGCCUGUAGCUCAGCUGGAUAGAGUACCGGCCUACGAAGCCGUUGGUCGCGCGUUCGAAUCGCGCCAGGCACGCCA
This 77-nucleotide transfer RNA is filed under the name Candidatus Omnitrophota bacterium. RNAcentral describes it as "Candidatus Omnitrophica bacterium (sediment metagenome) tRNA-Arg". It matches the Rfam family "tRNA". From Rfam's summary of the family: Transfer RNA (tRNA) molecules are approximately 80 nucleotides in length. Their secondary structure includes four short double-helical elements and three loops (D, anti-codon, and T loops). Further hydrogen bonds mediate the characteristic L-shaped molecular structure. tRNAs have two regions of fundamental functional importance: the anti-codon, which is responsible for specific mRNA codon recognition, and the 3' end, to which the tRNAs corresponding amino acid is attached (by aminoacyl-tRNA synthetases). tRNAs cope with the degeneracy of the genetic code in two manners: having more than one tRNA (with a specific anti-codon) for a particular amino acid; and 'wobble' base-pairing, i.e. permitting non-standard base-pairing at the 3rd anti-codon position. Lineage: Bacteria; Pseudomonadati; Candidatus Omnitrophota. The record is from RNAcentral.